Molecule: ribosomal RNA, 253 nt
Filed under: uncultured bacterium
Lineage: Bacteria
Description: partial 16S ribosomal RNA
Rfam family: Bacterial small subunit ribosomal RNA
Source: RNAcentral
UACGAAGGGGGCUAGCGUUGCUCGGAAUCACUGGGCGUAAAGCGCACGUAGGCGGCUUUUUAAGUCAGGGGUGAAAUCCUGGAGCUCAACUCCAGAACUGCCUUUGAUACUGAGAAGCUUGAGUCCGGGAGAGGUGAGUGGAACUGCGAGUGUAGAGGUGAAAUUCGUAGAUAUUCGCAAGAACACCAGUGGCGAAGGCGGCUCACUGGCCCGGUACUGACGCUGAGGUGCGAAAGCGUGGGGAUCAAACAGG